UACGGAGGGUGCGAGCGUUAAUCGGAAUCACUGGGCGUAAAGCGCGCGUAGGCGGUCUGUUAAGUGGGAUGUGAAAUCCCCGGGCUUAACCUGGGAAUUGCAUUUCAAACUGGCCGACUAGAGUACGGUAGAGGGAGGUAGAAUUUCCUGUGUAGCGGUGAAAUGCGUAGAUAUAGGAAGGAAUACCAGUGGCGAAGGCGGCCUCCUGGAUCGAUACUGACGCUGAGGCGCGAAAGCGUGGGGAGCAAACAGG
Molecule: ribosomal RNA, 253 nt
Filed under: uncultured bacterium
Lineage: Bacteria
Description: partial 16S ribosomal RNA
Rfam family: Bacterial small subunit ribosomal RNA
Source: RNAcentral